AGAAAUUUAUUUGAAGAUGGAUUGGACUAGAUGGACUCUGCCAUCCCUGAAAGUGCUUCUUCAGCUUUGAGAUAGUGUUACUGAAACCAUGACUGUGGUAUGAACAGAAAUGGGAGCCUCAGAAGGAGCUGAUAUGAGAAGCAAGUCAUAGGAUGGGAUCAUAGAUCUUAGAGCUGCUGAGAUCCUCAGAGGCUACUUAAUCCAACACCCUCAUUUUGUUGAUGGAGAAACUUAGUCUAUUAUUCGGGAAAUGAAUGUGCCCAUUGUCACAGGAAGGUCCCAGCCAUGCUUUGUGUCACUUCCUACUCCUCAGCCAUCUUCCAUGUAGACUUUCCAAACAAAUUACAACCCACAUCAGAGACCAUGAUCUGGAGAUUUGUGUUUUAUUUCAUCUCUAGGACUUCUCUCUCAGGACCCUGCUUUCCUGAAUGGUGGCUCCUCUAAUAGAACAUAAAUUACUUCUAUAUUUUUUAGUUUCAAUGCAUUGAACAAUUCCUGGUACAUAGUAGGUACUUGAUGAAUGCCUUUGAUUCAUUAAUUUGUCAGCAGAGAGCAGUACAAAAUCAUCUUCAGAAGAUCACUGCAGCCUGUCAGCUUUACUUCGAUCUAGGAACCUAUCUAUAAUGAACCUCUGUCCUAAACCUCUGGAUGCUGAAAACCAAGGUGUCUACUUGGACCCUGCUUCUUGUUUGUUCCCUCUUGUUUGUACUGAAUCCUGGCUUGCCUAUUUGGAAGGCACUACCUUGUGGUCCCUCUUAACCAUGUUGAAAACCAAGUCAACAAAUCCAGUCUGCUUGCUUGAAACCCAUCCUGCAUCUGUUUCCUCAAAUGAAUUUCUUGAACUUUGGAAUUUGGUUUCAACUCUGUACUCUCAAAUAUUUGCAUGUUAUUCCCAAUAGUACCUGGUCUCCUGGCUAUAUCCCUUUGCUCUCCAAAAAUCCUGUUGAAUGCCAGAACCUUUGUCUAGCUGUAUUCCAGAUUCUUCUGUUAUUAUCCCAAUACCAAACAUUUUACCACCUAAAUAUGUACUGUUUUCUCUUAUAACUAAACUGCUUAUUAUAUGUAUGUGCCUUGUUUCUCAAAUAGGACCUUCCUGAAGGUCAGGGUUCAUUGUCUUUCACUCACAUAUUUCCAUUAGUCCUUAGACUUUUCAAGUAGUAGGCCAAACUAAAUAUUUGUUGAAUGAAUGAUUUGACAAUUUAACAUAUGCAAAGAUCUGGGCAGAUAAGUGGCAUAGAGAAACCAGAGAACUGGACAUGGUACCUGGAAAACCCGAGUUUUAAUCCUGUCUCAGAUAAUUAUUUAUUGGAUGACUCUGGGAAACCUUUCUAAGCCUCAUUUUCUUCCACAAAAUGAAGAUAAUAAUAACACAUCUUGUAAAAUUGUUGUAAAUACAAAAAAAAAAAGAAAUUAUAUGUACAUAUAUAAAAAUACUUUGUAAAUCUUAAAGAACUUUACAAAUAUUAACUAUUAUUAUUUUGCAAUCCUCUUUUUUAAAACAAAUAUGGCCUGUUGUCAGAAAAAUCUCUUAACCAAAAGCAAAAUUAAGUCUUCCACUAAAAGAUUUUGAAAUACCAAUGACAAAACUGUGAUAGAAAAGGAAACCUGUUGCUUCUGGUCAAAUGGGGUAAAAACAAAGACAUGAGAUGAAGCAGAGGCAGACAGAACUGAAAUACUAAUACCCCAGAGCACAAACAUAAAACAAAUCCCUCAACAUCCUCUCAAGCUGAGGUGUUUAACCCAGCUAGUUAAAAACUCAAAAUAUAUCUGAGAACUCAAGGUCAAUCAUGACCACAUCAGCUUCAUUGGGUAGAAAACCUCUCCUAAACUGGUCUUUUGGAGAGCUUGCAGAGCCCAUUUCAGGGUUGUUUAUACACCUAUGGUAU
Molecule: non-coding RNA, 1886 nt
Organism: Monodelphis domestica (gray short-tailed opossum)
Lineage: Eukaryota; Metazoa; Chordata; Mammalia; Didelphimorphia; Didelphidae
Source: RefSeq, a predicted model, not a curated record